CUCAACCAUUAGGGUUUCUUAAUGGCUUGGAUUUGGGUGUUGCCAGUCUCUGGCUCGCCUUAAAGGAGUUAGCGAGUUUAACAAUGUCGUCUGGCGUAAUAAGUUUCGCUGGUAAGACUUGUGAAGUUUGCUUCUAAUCGUCUUCGGACAAUUACUUUGACUCUGGCCUCAAAUCAGGUAGGACUACCCGCUGAACUUAA
This 200-nucleotide unclassified non-coding RNA is filed under the name soil metagenome. RNAcentral's name for it is "partial contains internal transcribed spacer 2 and large subunit ribosomal RNA". The record is from RNAcentral.